Molecule: long non-coding RNA, 2701 nt
Organism: Pelodiscus sinensis (Chinese soft-shelled turtle)
Lineage: Eukaryota; Metazoa; Chordata; Testudines; Trionychidae
Source: RefSeq, a predicted model, not a curated record
ACACCACACAGAUAUUAACUUAUAGCUGCCAAUCGAGCUGUUUGGCGGUGAAUACCAUGUGACAGUGAAGAUGUUUGAAAAGAACCCUCUAUGAGGUCACCAAGAAAAACUCCAACUUCACCUGCUGCAGUUACCAACCCCAGUUUAUCAGCAUCACUCUAUUUUGUGCACCUGACAGCCUGUUUUGAAGAACAGUGACCUGUAGUAACUCAGUUAAAAAGAAAAAAAGAUGCAGACAAGUUGAGCAAUACAUCUUUGUUUGAACUGAACUAUGGCUGAAUUUAUGGUUUGGGACUGAGAUCCCGAUGCGCUCCUCCAACGUGACACGUGGAAUUUAACAAACAGGGCAAACAAGAAAAGAAAUACCACGCAACCUGGAGAAGUGGGAAGCAGAGCUCCAGCAUCACCACUGAUUCUGAUAACCAGCUGUUUCUGGAACAUAGCUUUUUCAAAUAUUUCAGAUUUCCUCAAACAGUAAGCUUGGGAAAGCAUGGGGUGAGUUUAGAGAAGUGAGGAAUUUCUCUGCCACACCCAGAAGGAUCAGGAUCUGGAGUCACUACAGGAAGCAAUUCAGACAGUGGAAGGUUCCCCACUUGAGAGCUCAAGGUCUCAGAGCAAAUGAGAAAUGUAUUUGCCUUUAUUAGUACUGCAAUUCUAUCAAUAACAGCUAUUCUCCUAAUACCUUGCACCUGAUCUAAGGUGUCAACUACUGAAUUUGAGGCAGAUUCAGCCCAUGUGAUGUACUUAUGUAGCCCAAGUGACAUUUAAAUUUGCUAGCAUCUCUCCUUUCAAUAUUUUAAAAGUAGUUCUUUAGCCCUUGGGCUCUCAAAAACCAACUUUCUGACCAUUACCUGACUUUUACCAAUGCAGGAAUGGCUGCCACAGCCUGCAGAAUACUGAAUCAAUGGCCCAUUAAGGGUGCUUAUGGUGUCUAGGGCCUCAGACCUGAACCAAAGGGACUCUAGGGUGUGAGGAGUCACACAUACUGCAAGAGAUACUGAUCAUGGGUGUAUCAGCUACAGCUGGACACCAUCAAGUAAAAACAUGGGCUCUCAGUCCCAUUUAACAUUCAAUGGGCAUACAAUUUAUAUGAGGCUUUAACCUGACUAGGUUAGCUUAUAUGAUAGACUACGUGCUUUAUCUACUCUAGUCUUCUGGAAUGUGCUAGGAAGCACAUUAGCUAACAUACUAUCAUUGCAAUUUUAAAUCCUAGUUUAGGGAAAACCUUAAAGAAAACAUGACUUUGUGGUUAAAGCACUGAUGUGGAUUUUAGGAAAUAUGCUGUUUUGUCCUGAUUUAAUUCCCACUCCACCAACUGGAAGAUUUAAAUGAGCAAAAUCCCUCAAGUGUAUGACCAUGUGGUAUUCAAAGGCAGAAUAGAUUUUUUAAACUUUAGUUAGAAAGCUGAUGGCUAAUAUUUAAAUUUCUGCAUACUAAAUGUUCAGAUCUUCAUUUGUAGAGCUGCGCUAUAUCGGAGACAAAUCAGCAUCUGGCAUAGCUCCAUGAGCUUCUACAGAGAAGUGGUAGAAAAUUGCCCCAGUAUCUUUAUCCUAUAUACCCAGUAGCCCAGUUUAUAGUGAAGCAAUGUUUAUCUAAGCUAGAAAGAGAGGCUACUAAAUUAAAGAUUUAUGACUUAUUACUCAGAAAAGUUGGCUGAGAAUUGUUAAUAAGAAAGUUCAGACAUUUGUAGGUGCAUUUGUAUUAAAAACUCCAGUCAUAAAAAGGAUGUGCCCACUAGUGUUCUAAUAAGUUGUGAAAAUUCAUAAGACAGUUGUUUGAUGACCUCAGGACAAACCUUUCUUUGAAGGAGAAUAAUUAAUCUGAGGUUAAAAGUUUAACUCAGCCUUAUUUUCCUUAAUUUUAUAUUUACGGCCCUGUCAAGGGAUUUACUUACCCCUCGGACUCCUCUUCCGAGGGAUUAGCUCCUUUCAUGUGCUGGACUUUUCUCUGGUGGUAUCUCUACCUAACACUACAACACAUAAUGCUCCCUCUUCAUUACUUAGCCCCCUAUUUACUCUUCCCAGGACAGGAAAGACUUUUAGAGCAAAUAAUCCCAUUCAGUUCUCAGCCAUUAUCCCUGUAUCUUCUGAAACCCCUUUUUAUGGGCAGCUUCUGGGCUUUAUAUAAGAAGCUGUUGUUCCUGUCCAGCUGAGACUCAUUUACUCAAUCCUUGCUCCCUGGCUUCUCCUCAGGGUGCAAUCUGGGGCAUUAAUUGGCUCAUCUAGCCACCUUAACCCCUCCAGCACUGAUAGGGGGUGUCACCUCAUCAUAAGCUCCUAAUAUUAGAGAUAACGGAUUUCAGAGGGCUCAAGUUCCCUCUAGUACUCAAUAGCUAACAGUAUUGUAGUGCUAUUAUAGCCACCUGGUAACAAAUAAUACAGUCUCCUAAUAUUUUUCCCUGUGAAAAGUUGUGUAGUUUGGUCCUGAAAUCCAAAUUAUUCAGUGGGGGAAAAGGAGCAGUUUAAACAACUCGUAAGAGUGUUUUCCAUAAAUGAAGAGGAUGGUGGAUUAGAGACUAGUGUAGGCAGAUGGAAGCCAUUUUGAAAGGUUUUUUUCUCCUUGAGACAAAUACAUCUUGCCAGGUAAGCUGGGAAAUGUAAUGCCAAUAAAAACAUGUGGUCUGCAUUUUGAAGACUAAGUCAUCCUUGUUACCCACCAGCUCUGUGAUUCUUGGGGAACCAGAACAUGGUCACCUGUCAGC